GAGGGUAUAGCUCAGUGGUUAGAGCACAUGCUUAGUGUGCACAAGGUCCUGGGUUCAAUCCCCGGUACCUCCA
Molecule: transfer RNA, 73 nt
Filed under: Camelus bactrianus (Bactrian camel)
Lineage: Eukaryota; Metazoa; Chordata; Mammalia; Artiodactyla; Camelidae
Also listed under: 1 other name
Rfam family: tRNA
About the family: Transfer RNA (tRNA) molecules are approximately 80 nucleotides in length.
Source: Rfam by way of RNAcentral